UGUAAUGGUUGUUGUCAAGUCUUUCUGACUUUGUGCAUAAUCAUUACAAGAGGAUCAAUGCAUAUAAGUUUAGAAUCUAACAGAUUUCAGUAAAUGACAUAAAUUUGGAAUUCUUGCAUUUACAAUAAGGAUUUGGGAUUGUGAAAUGAGUAUCAUUGGAAUCAUGUUCAAUUGAUCUACAUCACAAUGUAAGGAUCAUAGACAAACAUAGUGUGCAUACUUGGGGUAUGGCAUAACUAUUGUUUAGAAAAACAAAGUGUACAUGCUAGGAGCAUGGGACGACUGUUGUUUUUAUUCAAGUCUUAAGUUGAUUAUUUGAAACAUUGAAUAAUGUGUAAUCAAUAUGGUGAUAAAUAAAAAGUGGUUUUAUUUAUAUUCAAAAGGGUUCUGAGACCAUAUUAGAUUCGAUUAUUAUUGUAUUUCACUUUGCAUGUUUUGACUUCCAAAAUAGCUAGGUUAUUCUUUCCGGAUGACUAAGUUAUUUAAACACUCCACAGUCGUUCAUAUGUUGGAAGUAGGUAUGAAUCAAGACUGUCAUGAAUCGGGUUUGUAGAUGGCUAAAUGAGUUUAGUCAUGGCAAUGGUUGCUACAACAUUCAUGAGUACUCAUAAGUUAUGAGUAUUGGAAUAAACCCACGCUCACUUGUAUCACUUCAUGGAAUUUAUCUCGAGUGAUCGUGAGACGAUAAUAUCAUAUAAAUCUUCAAACCUAGAGAUAUGAGUUGUUACCUAUGAGUUGGUUGUGCAUUGAUUGCACGUAAACGCAUCAGUAACUUGAUGUUAUAAAACGUGCCUUUGUGUACAAUUCAACAAGUAGUAGAACAAGCAUAUGAGUCGAAGUUUAUCUGUUCCUUCUAGAAAUAGAAGCGAUAUCUGGGCCCCUCGAUGAUUUUGUUGUGACCUAUGUACCGGCCGGUCAGAACUGAAUUGAUGUGUUCGAUUAAGUUCUUUGUCAAACAAAUCGAAAAUCGGGAAACAAACUGCUGGACAAUAAGUACGACGUUGUUCCAUGUAUNAGAUUAAGUUCUUUGUCAAAUAAAUUGAAAAUCGGGAAACAAACUGCUGGACAAUAAGUAUGACGUUGUUCCAUGUAUUUGUCCGGCUGAUAUCAUGAGAACAGAGGAUUAUAUGAUCACUUAUCUAAAAUGGCGCUUCAUAGUUCAACAGAGUUUUCGAGAGCUACGAUUGCUGGUUGGUUCCUGAAGUAACAUACGCAAAUAUAGUUAUUAGACUUAUCCAAGUGGGAGUCUGUUGGAUAAGGUGUCUAAGUCCAUAACUUAUUUGGUAUAUACUUGACCCGACCCGCCAUGGUCCAUUUGGGUUGCAUCUCACCCGAACUAUUUAUGGAUAAUUUUAUGAGAGUUAUACACAUAUGCUUAUUAAUAUAUUAUAAGUUAUAAUAUAUUAAUAUGAAGUCAUGUUAUUUAAUUAGUCUUAGUCUUAAAUUAAUUAUGAAUUAAUUUAGAGAUUAAAAGGAAGACUAAUUAGAUUGUGGGCUAUUGGUUUUAUAUAGUGUGGGCUAACACUCAUUUGUUAAUGGGCUAGGCUUAUAUGGAAGUCCAUGGAUGAUCCAUGGAGCUUUUAACCCAUGGAUCCUUGGAAAGGAAAAGACAUGGGUUAUUAGGGUUUCACCCUAAUCAUGUACACUAUAUAAACAUGCUUAUGUUGCAUGAAAUAGCCACUAGUGGCACUAGUUGUGUGAGACUUAGGUGUGGCCGAAAAUUACAAUUGUGUGUACUCUCUCAAAAUUUUACAAGAGUUUGUGGUGAUUUGUGAUUCCAUUUGAGGCAUUCACACUAUUGGUGCUUGGCCCUCAAACUCCUUAGGAAUUGAACUCAUCAUCAAAAAGGUAUGUAAUCUCAUCUAAUUCUUUUAUGUUUAAAAGUACCCCAACAACAAGAAGGUAAAUUACCCGAGUUUAGCAUCAGGAGGACCAGCAGCAACACCUGCUUCAGCAACCCUACGACUUACUAAUGACUGCCAGGGCAUGGCGGAUGCACUAGUUGUGAGGACCAGGGGUUUUCAACUGACAUUCGAGGAGGCUCAUGCAGCACCGGAUGUGGUGGCGGGUAUGUAUCUUCUCCUUAAAUCUUUAUUGAUGUUGAUUUCUCUGCUUAUAUUUGUGUGUUUUGUUUUAGGACCGUUCCGUGUGAACGAUAUCUCUGACUUGGUAUUGUUUGAUUCGGGGCUACCCAAUCUUUUGUAUCUCUUGCACUCAGCAAAUGGAAUGUUGGAGCUCUGGGGUAGUUGGAUUUUCCAUUAGGGGUUGAGAUUGUGGAUGAUCGAUAUGUCUGGGUAUCGAAGGUUCAUCAAAUUGUGUUCUAGAGAUGUUCAGCGAAUAGUAUCCAUUUGAUUUGGUUCAUAUUCCUUUUCACAUGAAUAAUGUUAUUAUAGGGAUGGGCUGGUUAAGCCCUAAUGGGGCAGUAAUUGAUUGCGAGCAUCAAAUGAUACGCAUUCAAACCCUAUGUAGGGGGAAUUUUGUGAGGUUCGGUGGGAGAGAGCUCAGCAAGGGCCAGUUCUAUGCUCAUCAGCUAGGGUCAGACGCUAUCUUCAUCCUGGUUGUUCUAGUUAUGUUGCCUAUGUUAUGGAUACCCGAGAUAAGGUUAAGGUGACUGUAGACGAUGUGCUAAUUGUACGGGAAUAACCGAAUGUGUUUUUGGAGGAUUUUCCUGGGAUGCCUAUGCAGAGGCAGGUGGAGUUUUGGAUUAACUUGGUUCCUGGUACGACUCCGAUAGCCAAAGCACCAUAUCAGUUAGCUCCUCCAAGGAUGCAUGAGUUGUCUACACAACUGCGGGAGCUAUUAGACAAGGGGUUUAUUCGAUCGAGUAGUUUUCCAUAGGGAGCGUCGAUCUAGUUUGUGAAGAAGAAGGAUGGGUCGCAUCAGAUGUGUAUUGACUACUAAGGGAUGAAUAAGCUAAUGGUGAAUAACCGGUAUCCAUUCCCAAUGAUUGAUGAAUUUUUUUGACUAGCUUCGGGGUGCAUCUUGAUUUUCCAAGAUUGAUCUUCAUUCAGUUAUCAUCAGAUGAGGUUCAGAGAGGAUGAUGUGCAGAAGAUGGCCUUCCAAACUCGUUAUGGCUAUUACAAGUUCGUGGUGAUUCCCUUUGGCCUCGCCAAUUCUCCAACUGCGUUCAUGCACCUCAUUAACCAUGUAUGUUGAUCGAUGUUGAUCGUUCUGUGAUUGUAUUCAUUAAUAACAUCUUGGUCUAUUCCAAGACUUAGGAGUUGUAUGAGGAUUACUUGAGGGAGGCAUUGGAGACUCUGAGGAGGGAGAGAUUGUAUGAGAAGUUCUCCAAGUGUGAGUUCUGUUUGCGCAAGGUGCACUUUCUUGGGCACCUUGUAAACAAAAAUGGUAUUUUGGUCGAUCCGGCCAUGGUCGAGGCCGUGAUGAGGUGUGAGGUUCCGAUGUCUCCAUCUAAGAUUCAUAGUUUCCUUGGGUUGGCAGGUUACUACUGCAGAUUCAUUUAGGAUUUCUCCAAGAUAGCGAUUCCUCUAACUUGAUCUGAUGAAAAAGAUUGUCACUUUUCGUUAGGGCCUUGAGCAUCAUAAAUCUUUUGAGACCCUGAGAUAGAGAUUGUUUGAGGCAUUGAUUCUAACCCUGCAAGAGGGUGUUAAGGAUUUUGUGUUUAUUGUGAUGUGUUGACCAUGGUUUUGGGUGUAGUUCUUGUUCGAUUAAUGUCUAAGUCCAUAACUAUAAUUGGUAAGACUUGACCCGACCCGGCAUGGUCCAUUUGGGUUGCAUGGCAUCAUGCACUUGGAUAGUAUAUUAAUAAUGAGAGAAAUAAGACACUUAUGGUUAUUAAUAUAUUAUAAGUUCUAGUAUAUUAAUAAUAAGAAUAAUAAGAUUAUUUAAUUAGUAUUGAUCAAGAAUUAAUCUAGGAUUAAUUAAGUGAUCAAAAGAAGACUAAUUAAAUAUAUGGGUUGAUUGGGUAAAUCAUCCAUACUUAUAUAGUGGGCUAAUGCUCCAUGGAUUAUCUAGUUGGGCUAAAACCCAUAUGAUGCUCCAUGGAUGCUCCAUGGUGUAUUUGUACCCAUGGAUCAUGGAAAUGAAAGGUCAUGUCAAUUAGGGUUUACAUGGUGUAACCCUAACUAUAUAAGAAUCUUAUUCUUGACCAAAAUCGGCCACUAGAGUGAGUAAUGAAGGGCUAGCUGAUUUCAUGAGUUGUAGAUUUCUCUCAAGUUAUUCCAAGUGUAUUUGGUGUUGUGUGAACCAUUUGAGGUGUCACACUUGGGGCACUAGGCACUCAAGCUUCAUGAAGACUUUCUACAUCAAAGAGGUAUGUAUUCUAUCUUGUUAUAUUCAUUGUUUUGUAUGCUAGAUUAGGAUAAUACCUUGGAAGUUCAUAUUUGCAUGUAUAAUAGAGAAAACAUAGAUCCAAGGUAUUUAGGGUUGCAUGUACACUUAGGAGUGUUAGAAUGCUCAAAACCCAACAGUGGUAUCAGAGCCUAGGCUUGUUUUCUUGUUAUACCUGCAAUAGAAGCUGAAAAAACGAAUCUGGUGCUGUCUGGCCAUCAGACUCGGCGAGUCCAUCAGGAGACUCGGCGAGUCCAUGCCUAAAAAGUGAUGAAUUCGAUCCAACUCGCCGAGUUUGUUCAUGCACUCGACGAGUUGGACCCCCAGACAGCAUAUUUUCGAGUUUUUUGGCUAGAAAUGGACUAGGAACAUUACCCUAAGUUGUUUUUGAACUUAUAAACUUGUUUUUGAUGUGGUAAUGUUCAUGCUAAUCCAUUUUCAAAGAUAAUUGUCAAUAGAUUCAUGUUUUGUAUUAGUUUAAGGUUUAGACUAAUUACAUGAAAAAGUUUGAUUUGAAUUAUCUUGUUCUUAUGAGUUGCUUAGAUUAAUAGAAAUGUUGAGUGAAAUAGUUGUUUUCAAUCCAUUUUAAUCUAAGAGUUGAGUAUAAAAUGUGUUUGUGUAACUUGUCCUCAAGUUACAUGAAGAGUCACAUUAAAGACUCAUAAAAUUCAUAAAAGUUGGCAAUGGUUACAAAAUGAAGAGUCUUGUGUCAUUGAAUAAUUUUUUUUGACUCCAUAACUUGUCCUCAAGUUAUGGAAGUUCAAGAGUCACUUCAUUAAAGAAAAAUAUGUAACCAUAAUUAAAUCCAUAAGUUAUAAAAUAAAGAAAAAGUUAGUUCUUUUAUUAGUUUAAAGUCUUCCAUAACUUGUCCUCAAGUUAUGGAACUUGAAGAGUUUUUGGAUUAAAACUACUUUAAACACAUAAGUUAUGGAAUUAAUUAGUUUUGAAUAGUUUCAAAACUUGCCCUCAAGUUUUGGAAUUUGAAAAGUUUUCAAGUAUGAAUACUUUAAUUCCAAGUUAGCCCUUAGAAUUUUAAAAGUUAAAAUUCAACCCUUAUACUUUAUAAUAUUAUAAGUUAAUAAUAUAUAUAUGUAUAAGAGUAAAGUCAGUCUUACCGCUAGUACGCCUCAUUCACGAAGCCGGUCUAUAAGGUGGGUAUAAGGUUGUUGCCUAUAAAAUGGCAACUUAAUGGGUGUCCACUCUCACCCACCGCUUGCUUGACUGGUGGAGGGUCGUUAGCCGAACGGGUUUGACAGGACUAGAAUUCUCCCUUCAUUAAAAGUAUUAAUGAUAAUACUAAGUAACUAAACUCUUAAUAAUACCCAAUCUUAGUUACUUAGGAAAAAUGUGAAUAAGGUGCUAAUCCAUGAAAUUACACUUUACACUUUGUCUAAGUCGUUAGUGGAGCGUGUGUGGUUAACCGGCACACUAACUUGGACUUAACAAGGUAGGUAAAGGGUGACUUAAUAUUUAUCAUAGUAUCGAUGGAGCGUGUGUGGUUAACCGGCACAUCGAUUGAGGGGUAAUUUAUUAAGGGUACCAAGUGAUUUGCAUGGUUACUUCACACCUUGUUUUGUGAUCCUCGGCAUCCCAGUCACAAAACCUGAAGGGCACACUCGAGAUUGAAACAUGCCUUUGAAAAGUUCAAUGAAUCUCAAAGAUCUAGGAGUUUCAAAACCAAUUAAAACCUAAUAAUACAUUUCGUUUAUCUUGGUGGAAAUUGGUGAAUCGUCAUUCACCUACCUUCAAAUAUUUUAUAGCUUGGAUUACGGCAUACCUCUUCUAAGUUAUAAAAUAGUUUGUUGGGUCCUAGCCUUAAUAUUUCAUAUUGGGUGUCAUAUUAAGGACUUUAAAUCAACUAUCUUGAAUAUCUCCCAAAAGAUGUCUGGUUUAGACACCUAUGAUCUUCCCAAAUCUCUUGAAACAAGGUUUCCUAAUGAAGAUGAUGUCCCAUGGAUAUCAUACUUCUUCACCUCUUCAAAUUAUUCUCCCUAACCCACAAGUUCUUGAAAAGUUUAAGGUCACUCAGGCCCUAUUGGCAAGGCAAGGUCUAGGUGUGGUCACAUCUUGGAGAUGUAGUCACAUAUUGACAAGCCGGGAGAGUUGGGUGUCAAAGUCUUGAGAAAGUUGGUGGUUCAACCACUUUCUAAGUCACAUAGUGAGUUCCUUUGGGACACCUAUGAAACAGACUAUGACAAGACCCUUAAUGAUCUUAUCUAUUUGCUAAGAUCAACUUCCUAAAACUUUAUGGACAUUGACAAUGAUGACAUUGGAUAUCCAGUAAAGCAUUCUCUUCCCAAUGGAAAGGGAUCGGCCAUAGUCAACUCGGUUGACCAAAUGGUAAAGAGAAAAGCUAAGUCUGUGAUAGUCCCGUGUACCAUUAUCAAAGGGUCCAUAUGUUUAUAUUGCCAAAGGAAGGGGCAUUGGUUGCGAAGCUGCCAAAUUUACCUAAGGAUGUUAAAGUCAAUAAGUUUGACUCUACUUCAGGUAAAGUCCACUAUCUAACUCUGUUAAGUUUCUAUUCUGAGAUUCUUGAUACAUGAUGUGACUGGGUCACAUGGUGAUGUUUUAAGAAUCAAAGAAAAGUGAAGAAACUUAAAGAAAGAAUAUGCUGAAUCUGAUGGCGUAGAUGGAUUUCUAUCGCAUAGUUUGAAGAUCGGAUUCUUGAGCUACUUCUUAGGAGUUAUGAGAUAUUGCUUAGGAAUAGAUAACAACAAGUUUUCAUAUGGAUUGUAAGGAUAAGUUUUUCCGCAAAGUUUUAAAAUAAAAGAAAAUUUUUUUGAUUUUAUUUAUUUUAAAAUAUCCUUACAAUGGCAUUUGAGGAAAAAUUGUUGCUUAUAUGAUUCCAUUAAGAGCAAGAGUGGAAAUAUGAAAUUGAUUCUUUCAUUUGUGGUAAUGUCUAAAUUUACCAAAUAAGGAAAGAUUCUCAUCACCCAAGUUUCAAUUGGACCGGAACUUGGAAUCAUGCAAGUUGUAUAGCAUGAUGAAUGAGAACUUUCAAGUUUUGGAAAAUUAAGACUAAUUACUUGUUCACAUGGAUGUGUGAGUCAAGUAAAGGACUUAGGGAUCGAGUACACAUUCUUGUGCACUGAUUAAGUCCACCACUAAAGAUCGAUAAGAAGAAUCAAAUAAGGCAGAAGGAUAAAAGUUUCUCAAAUCUGAAAAGAUGGGAGAGUACUUUAGUAUCAGUUUUGUGAUCAUCUUAAUGAUUAAGAAACCAUAUCAAAAUUAGUUCUCUAAGGAAAUCUUAGUGCAUUCUUAUGACUAAGAAGAGGAACUUGAAUUGUUGAAAUGGUUAAAUCAAGAAGAUGAGUCAUACUUCGUUCCAAUACAAGUCUUAGAGUCAUACUCCAAGAUUGUCAUUUGAGUGACAUGUCUUAAAGAAGGUUUAAAACACUUGUCAAAUGUAAGAGUAAAAGUUUUCUACUCUUGUACAUUUGAAAUUGGUAAGUUGUGAUGUUUUGGAUAAAACAAAGACCAACUUAGGCCAAUUGGGUAAAGUGUUUUUCUUGAUUAGAAUCCGCACUAUCUCUUGGAUGUUUGACAAGGGAGUCUUAUAUGUCAAGAGGACAGUGGGAGUCUUAAAGGUCUUGAAAGUCUCAAGAAAUAAUCAAGAAUAAAACCUAAAGUUCUUCACUAGCACACGACUUGAGGUUUAUAACCUAUCGUGUUGACAUAUCUGUGCCCAUUCCAGUUAAAGUUGGCUUUGCAUAUGAGUUCUUAGAGUUCUCAGUUUGUUGCAUAACAACUUGGAAGCAAUGGCAGGCCCUUGAGCUGCCAGGUGGCAAGAAGUUAAGAUUGAGUUCAAUCCAUAUGGUUUUGGAUUUGUCAUUAUCUUUGUCUUGUGAUUAUGGUUUGACAAAUUCAUAUGGGUAGGAACUCAUACACCAUAUAAAUCUAAGUGUCAUAAGGUUUCUCUCCGAUUCAUGAAAAUGAUGGUGAGGAAACGCUUUCACUAAGUAGAUUUUACGAAGAUAUCAAUUGUGUUAUUUGCAUUUUCAAAAGUCGUUAGUGGAGCGCGUGUGGUUAACCGGCACACUAACAUGGACUUGUGAGAAAUGGCAAAUGCCUAAGCAAUUGAGACCAUGAUUACGGUAUCCCUUUUCAUGGUUCUUGAAAUUGCUUAGACACACAGGUGAGCUAUCUACGGAAAGGGUGUAUGAAUCUAAAUUUCAGACUGUCCAGCUGAUUUCUGAGUACAUGUCAAAGCUAGUGGGAGCAUAAGUGUUAUGCUAAUAAUCAUCAUGUUAGUGGGAGCAUGAUAAUUAUGAUAAGUAUUGCAAGUUAGCAAUGUUAAUUAUAGAAAACAAAAGUUUCAAUUGGGAAAAAGUUGUUUUGCUAUAAUUAAGGGAGAGGAAAUUAUGCUUCAUCUCAAAUCUAUAAGCUUAGAUCGUGAGGUUUUAAUCAUUUAGUCAAGGAUAUAUAUGAAUUUCAUGUUGGAAUGGCUCAACAUAAGGAAAUUCUGUAUAUGGGUCCAUUAUUUGCGUUCUAAAAUUCGAUUAUGAUUACGGCAUCCCUUUUCAUAAUCUGAAUUAUGAGAACUUGGCAAAUUGAAAUGGAAAUAUUAUAGCAAAAGACUGGUUUAGUCUUUAUGUAAGACAUCAUGAAUCGUGUCCCAUAUGCUUCGGAUAUAGGAUCGAUUACAUGUGCUAUAUUCAUCCGUUCUAAAAUUUUCCAAAUGCCUGGGGCAUUAAGAAGGGAAAAGGUUUAGAACUGGAUAUGACUAAAAGGAUUAAACAAUUGUCGAGGACAAUCUAAGGUUUACCAAAGAUUGGUUACUCAAGGACAAUUGGAAGUAUAGUGAUAAUUCUGGAAGGACCAUAUUGACAUAAUCUGUAAGGAGGCAACUCUUGUUCAGAAGUGAUAGUCAAAAUGGAAUCUGGAAAUGUUUCAAAGUUAGAAUUUUCAAUAUGUGUAAGAUUAAGGAAACUUAAUGCAAGAAGGAUGUUUCCAAGGAGUUGAUUUCCUUUGGAAUGCUCUGUAAUGUUUGGUGUCAAGUCUAUAUGAUUUUGCGCAUAAUCAUUACAAAAGGAUAUAUGCAUAUAAGUUUAGAAUCUAACAGAUUUUAGUAAAUGGCAUGAAUUUGGAAUUCUUGCAUUUGCAGUAAGGAUUUGGGAGUGUGAAAAAAGAAUCAUUGAAGUUAUGUUCAAUUGAUCUAGUUCACAAAGUAAAGAUCAUAGACAAACAUAGUAUGCAUACUUGGUGUAUGGCAUGACUAGUGUUUAAGAAAACAUAGUGUACAUGCUUGGAGCAUGGGACAACUAUUGUUUUAAAUUCAAGAAUAAAGUUGAUAGCUGAAACAGUAUACAAUGAAUAAUGUGUAAUCAUAUGGUGAUAAAUAAAAGGUGUUUUAUUUAUGUUCAAA
This 9655-nucleotide long non-coding RNA is filed under the name Lactuca sativa (garden lettuce). RNAcentral describes it as "long non-coding RNA (LSAT_LNC008885)". Lineage: Eukaryota; Viridiplantae; Streptophyta; Magnoliopsida; Asterales; Asteraceae. The record is from RNAcentral.